AGGUUGAGCGAAGGGGUUAACCGCUUUCAGUCGGUGAAUUGUAAGGGGAUGGUCUGCUUUGUUGGCACCAAGAGGGAUGGAGUUAGUUUGAUUCUGAUGUGUGAUUUGGCUGGGAAGAGGUGGUGGUGGCCGAGGGGGCAGGAGGGGAGGACGGCUGGGAUGGGAAAUUGUUUGGUGCACACGGUGGAACCUUAUAUUGGUUUGGUGAAAGGGAGCAUAUAAUUUGGAGGCUUUAAGGGACUAGUUCAAGGAGAAGAAACACUGCUUGUUCUGGCCUGCUAGUUUUUCCUCGUGAUGGUUUCAUGUUGAUAUUCAUUGCUUUUGUUGACUACUACUGUUGUAGCCGAUACCAAUUUACGGAUUAUUAGCAACUUUAGUGCUCACAAUCAAGCACUUGUUCUUUUGAUGUUGUGACAGAAUUUUGUACAUAGAAUAGUAUGGAGGAAAAAUUUCCCCUUAUUUCAUCUCUGCUUUUUUGUGGCUA
This is a long non-coding RNA of Asparagus officinalis (garden asparagus), 484 nucleotides long. RefSeq lists it as uncharacterized. The transcript is spliced from 2 exons. NCBI's taxonomy places the organism in Eukaryota, Viridiplantae, Streptophyta, Magnoliopsida, Asparagales, Asparagaceae. The record is from RefSeq and is a predicted model, not a curated record.